AACGAACGCUGGCGGCAGGCUUAACACAUGCAAGUCGAGCGAGACCUUCGGGUCUAGCGGCGGACGGGUGAGUAACGCGUGGGAACGUGCCCUUCUCUACGGAAUAGCCCCGGGAAACUGGGAGUAAUACCGUAUACGCCCUUUGGGGGAAAGAUUUAUCGGAGAAGGAUCGGCCCGCGUUGGAUUAGGUAGUUGGUGGGGUAAUGGCCCACCAAGCCGACGAUCCAUAGCUGGUUUGAGAGGAUGAUCAGCCACACUGGGACUGAGACACGGCCCAGACUCCUACGGGAGGCAGCAGUGGGGAAUCUUAGACAAUGGGGGCAACCCUGAUCUAGCCAUGCCGCGUGAGUGAUGAAGGCCUUAGGGUUGUAAAGCUCUUUCAGCUGGGAAGAUAACGACGGUACCAGCAGAAGAAGCCCCGGCUAACUCCGUG
RNAcentral lists this ribosomal RNA (433 nucleotides) under uncultured bacterium. RNAcentral's name for it is "partial 16S ribosomal RNA". It matches the Rfam family "Bacterial small subunit ribosomal RNA", at positions 29 to 507 of the family's 1533-position model. The record is from RNAcentral.